This is a long non-coding RNA of Vidua chalybeata, 539 nucleotides long. RefSeq lists it as uncharacterized. Lineage: Eukaryota; Metazoa; Chordata; Aves; Passeriformes; Viduidae. The record is from RefSeq and is a predicted model, not a curated record. The transcript has 4 exons.
AGGAAGGGAAGAAUCCUACCAGUAGCACCUACUACUACCAGGUGUUUUGAUGACAUUGAGGCAAGCUUUCAGUUUUACUGGACCAUAACUCUUGCAGCUGUGAUAAAAUGGAAGUAUAGGCAGGAGAGGAAAUCAAUGGCCUGCUUAAGAAAAUUAACCUUUGUCUGUGUUUCCAAGACAACACAGGUUCAGCUGCUAGAAAAUCAACCAAUCAAUCCUUGGGGCAGGACAUGAAAGGAACAACAUACCCUCAUGGCUGGAAGAAACCAAAGUCAGGUGCCUUCAGGAGGGGAUGGAAGGUCUGUCUCUGAGAUGUGGCUGCAUUUGGAUCCCAUGAUUUAUCAGUGGGAAGUAUACAGGAAACAAACACUCAAGAACAGUCCCUUUGUUGAGGCCAUCUACAAUACAGCUUCUAAAAUACAUUUAGGACAUUGCCUACUACUACUUAUUUAUCUGCAAAGAAGGUGCACCCCCUGCUUCUCGGGUUCCUGAGCCUGUGCUGGAAAAGUCACGCUGAGCAUCAUGGAGUGGCAUUACCA